CAAGUCGAGCGAACCACUUCGGUGGUUAGCGGCGGACGGGUGAGUAACACGUGGGCAACCUGCCUGUAAGACUGGGAUAACUUCGGGAAACCGGAGCUAAUACCGGAUAAUCCUUUUCCUCACAUGAGGAAAAGCUGAAAGUCGGUUUCGGCUGACACUUACAGAUGGGCCCGCGGCGCAUUAGCUAGUUGGUGAGGUAACGGCUCACCAAGGCGACGAUGCGUAGCCGACCUGAGAGGGUGAUCGGCCACACUGGGACUGAGACACGGCCCAGACUCCUACGGGAGGCAGCAGUAGGGAAUCUUCCACAAUGGACGAAAGUCUGAUGGAGCAACGCCGCGUGAGCGAUGAAGGCCUUCGGGUCGUAAAGCUCUGUUGUUAGGGAAGAACAAGUAUCGGAGUAACUGCCGGUACCUUGACGGUACCUAACCAGAAAGCCACGGCUAACUACGUGCCAGCAGCCGCGGUAAUACGUAGGUGGCAAGCGUUGUCCGGAAUUAUUGGGCGUAAAGCGCGCGCAGGCGGUCCUUUAAGUCUGAUGUGAAAGCCCACGGCUCAACCGUGGAGGGUCAUUGGAAACUGGGGGACUUGAGUGCAGAAGAGGAAAGCGGAAUUCCACGUGUAGCGGUGAAAUGCGUAGAGAUGUGGAGGAACACCAGUGGCGAAGGCGGCUUUCUGGUCUGUAACUGACGCUGAGGCGCGAAAGCGUGGGGGAGCAAACAGGAUUAGAUACCCUGGUAGUCCACGCCGUAAACGAUGAGUGCUAAGUGUUUAGGGGGUUUCCGCCCCUUAGUGCUGCAGCUAACGCAUUAAGCACUCCGCCUGGGGAGUACGGCCGCAAGGCUGAAACUCAAAGGAAUUGACGGGGGCCCGCACAAGCGGUGGAGCAUGGGGAUUUAAUUCGAAGCAACGCGA
Molecule: ribosomal RNA, 915 nt
Filed under: Neobacillus bataviensis
Lineage: Bacteria; Bacillati; Bacillota; Bacilli; Caryophanales; Bacillaceae
Description: bacterial SSU rRNA
Rfam family: Bacterial small subunit ribosomal RNA
Source: RNAcentral